GGCUGGAUAGCUCAGUGGUUAGAGCUACCGGUAUAUAACUGGGAGGUCGUUGGUUCAAUCCCAACUCCAGGCA
Molecule: non-coding RNA, 73 nt
Organism: Phellopilus nigrolimitatus
Lineage: Eukaryota; Fungi; Basidiomycota; Agaricomycetes; Hymenochaetales; Hymenochaetaceae
Source: the annotation of a GenBank genome assembly